ACUUUCCAGGGAUUGGGUUUCAUUUUAAUUUCGUAUACGCUGUGUAUUCCGAUGUUCCUUAAUUUGUAUUCAACUUUCAUGUUUCUACAAUUCACUUUUUAAAAUUGUUGGUCAUUUGUCGCAUACUAGUAUUGGAAUGUUUAUUAUGAUUGUUGUUAGUGUGGUUUUGCUUCUGCUUGGCAGUGAACGAAUCCAAGCCGGCAAGGAGAGCACAUGUAAGUACCCCUUCAGGACACUGGGCGACAACUGUUACUAUUUCAGUACAGACAAGGCCACCUGGGACGAGGCUUAUGUAAACUGUGUUCACAAAGGUGGAUAUUUGGCGAACUUGGAAACUCUUCAUGAAUACCUAAUUAUUAGGUAAUCUCUCCGGGAUAAAAAAUGGUCAGAAUUACGCCAUUGGAGGACGGGAUUUUAAUCGCGAGAAGAAGGGUGGAGACUGGAGGUGGGUCAGAUACGAUCGGGUUUCUAAGAUGUCCUUCUUUGCAUUUGCCCCAAGUGAACCCAGUAGUAGCAAAACUUAUCCGCAGCUCUGUUUAUGGUUACACGCUAGCUAUAAAUAUCAGUUCUUUGACCAGUAUUGUACCUCUGUCGCGCGAUACAUUUGUGAAAAAUAAAGAUCUUUAACAGUGAA
Molecule: RNA transcript, 634 nt
Organism: Ostrea edulis (European flat oyster)
Lineage: Eukaryota; Metazoa; Mollusca; Bivalvia; Ostreida; Ostreidae
Exons: 4
Source: RefSeq, a predicted model, not a curated record